Molecule: long non-coding RNA, 2630 nt
Filed under: Homo sapiens (human)
Lineage: Eukaryota; Metazoa; Chordata; Mammalia; Primates; Hominidae
Description: HSALNT0394496
Source: RNAcentral
UUUUAUUUCACUUACUGUAAAUGUGAGUUAGAGCAAAUAGGCUCCUGAUGGUUAGCUGGGCUGGCUACUUUAGCCUUGCAGGAGGCAGUGUAUUACAAUGGCAGUAGAUGUUUGGGAGUCAGGUGUAUAAUUUUGGCUUCACUACCUACUGGGUGUGAGGCUUAACCUCUCUGAGUUUUAGUUUCCUCUUCUGUACAGUAGGGUUAAUACAUUUUCCCUAGGUCAUUUCUAACUUUUAUAUAAGCUCACAAAUGUAAAACAAAAAACUGUAUGGUAGGAUAUUUCUAGGCAAAUCAAUGUAUGUUAUGGUCCCUCUUGCUUUUCUUUGACUUAAAUGGAAUCAAUCAUUGCAUUGGAUAAGAAGGGAAGCAGUACUGGUUGAGUGAACACUGUGAAUUUGGAGGACGUGUGCUGGACCUCAGCCAUACCUCUAACACAUUGGGUAACCUUGGACACACAACGUGACCUCACAGAACUCCAGUUCCCUCUGUCAUAAUCUGGAAUGAUGAUAUCAAUCAAGUGAAGCAGCUAUCACAGGGUCUGGAACAUAGUACAUCCCAGCCUUCUUGCACAUAGAAACACUACACAGCACUUCAGCUGUAUGUUUGGGGGCCAUUUUAAACAGCAAAAUCAUCAACAGGAAGCAGAAAAUUGUAAAAAUUGUGGCACUAAAUAGACCAUGUAAAGGACACAUGUUUGCAAUAAGAAAGCUGAAACAAGAAGGGGGAGUGUCACCUUAUUUGAUCCAGCUAGAAACUCAGGUGCUGGUAUUCCAGCAACACUCAGGCGGCUGCUCCAGGAGGCUGCAGAGGGGUCCUUUUUAGCCGUCAACAAAACUGGCUAUGGUCACGCCCAUUGGGAAACUCAUUGCUGCCUUCAAGGACUCAGAAGCUGUAGGAAUAUUCAGGCACAGACACCAGACCCAGCUUCAUCUCUAACUUGUGGCAAAGGACAGUACAUCCUGGGAUGGGACCCUAUGCUCCCCUAUGCCAUUUAGACAGAGCCUGGGGAGAGUGACUUCCCAGGGUAUCCAUGUUGGAAUCUCUCAUUUGAUUCUUAUUCAAAUUUAGGUUCUGUCAAUAGAAGAUACUAAAGAAAGAAAGCCAGGAGAAGAAAAGGGACUUCUUUCUUCAAGGUCUAAGCUGUUCUAAUAGCAUUAUUCUGGGAAUGGCAUCUUCCACUCCUCCUAGUACAAAGAACCUGCUUCCUCAUACCCCGUCAAGGAACUGCAGCAUCCAGGUGAUGGCCACAGUGGCAGAACCUAGGAAGCCAAGAAGAAACCAGAGAAUGGAGACACAUGGCAGCAAUGGCAAGUCAUCAGACCCAGGAUUUCCCAAAGAACACUGGUCCAGGAAGAUGCUCUGUGAAAAAGUGUUCCCUGGUCGGAGAAAUUUGUGAAACACUUUGCAUAAUACUUAAAAGAAUGUAUGGCACAUCAAAGAUCUUAUAACAGUCUCCGCAGGAAGCAGCUGCAGUCAUUAGCCAUAGGACAGACUAAACACACAAUCUGCAUGGAAGGAGGCCUGGAUCAGCUUGGUCUUUCAGAUCUCUAAUCUCAGGCACAGGAAAGCACCAUCAACAGCACCCUUUGUAUAUAUACAUAAAGGUAACAUAUUUUAUCAUUUAAAGGGAUUUGAGAAAUUGAAGAGGCCCAACUCUUUUUCUGCCUUCUUUGGUUUGAGGCUUAGAUUGCUUAAGGGGCUUGCCCAGGAUCACAUAUCUUGUAAGAGACAGAGCAAGGAUUCAAAGCCAGUGCUGGCUUCUGUGUCUCCAUUCUUUCCAUUCUCCUCCAGUGGCUCUUUUGGGAAGCUGAGGGAGGAACAGCAGCAGAAUUGGGUGGCACCUGCCCAUGCCCAUCAUGCACUGAGCAUCUUCAGGUCUGGCCAUGGACCCCUUAAUUCCUAAUCCAGAAUUCCUCCCAUCACUCUUUGCUGAGAAAAGCACUAAAAUGGAGAUAUUUGUUCCAAAAUCCCAAAUUUUAAUUCCAUAGAGCAAAGUGUCUUUAUUUUUAAAUCAUCCAACUCAUCAUAAAUUCAGCUGGAUUCAUUAGAGUUAAAGAAUUGACAACACCAAACAUUUUGUAACAGAAGUUACUGCUGCUUAAGGAGUUAGGGUUCACCUUUUCCAGAGCUCUUCAGUGCCAACCCAGCACCAAUAUCCCAGCGUCGCUGGAGGGAAUGAUGGCGCCCUGCAUUUCAGAGAAGAUUUAAAACCGAGAUCCUAACUGCUCAUCAUCAUUAAAAAUCUCCAGGCAGUUUUCAUAAGAGCAAGGGGGUGGUUGCCUGAGGUUUUGGCUGACAGUCAACCCAACUAAUUACAUUCUGUCUACUGUGUCCUCCCGCAGUUUCAAUUGGAUAUGUUUUUUUUUUUAUUUCCUGUCCUAAUCUGAAUGUAGGGUUGCUAUGUGUUCUUAAGCAGAUGCUGCUGUUCUUGCUGGUAGAAGAGGCUUUUCAGAUUUGUUUUUUUCCUCACAGAAAGUUUUUGAGACUUUAAAUAAAAUAAUUCUUCUAAAUGUUCCUAAGAUCCUGGCACCAAAUACAUUCUAAAUGCAAUGUGUGCAGCAUGAAGGAAUUGCAAAGAUAGCAAGUAGAUAAAAGACGUACUUCACAGGAGCAUCCAGCCUCCUAUAG